RNAcentral lists this ribosomal RNA (669 nucleotides) under Lysinibacillus sphaericus CBAM5. RNAcentral's name for it is "bacterial LSU rRNA". It matches the Rfam family "Bacterial large subunit ribosomal RNA", at positions 1 to 662 of the family's 2925-position model. Lineage: Bacteria; Bacillati; Bacillota; Bacilli; Caryophanales; Bacillaceae. The record is from RNAcentral.
GAUAGGUUAAGUUAUUAAGGGCGCACGGCGAAUGCCUUGGCACUAGGAGCCGAAGAAGGACGGCACUAACACCGAUAUGCUUCGGGGAGCUGUAAGUGAGCUUUGAUCCGGAGAUUUCCGAAUGGGGGAACCCACUACGUUUAAUCGCGUAGUAUCUUGACGUGAAUACAUAGCGUCUUGAAGGCAGACCCAGGGAACUGAAACAUCUAAGUACCUGGAGGAAGAGAAAGAAAAAUCGAUUCCCUGAGUAGCGGCGAGCGAAACGGGAAGAGCCCAAACCAAGAGGCUUGCCUCUUGGGGUUGUAGGACACUCAAUACGGAGUUACAAAAGAGCGAGUUAGAUGAAGCGACUUGGAAAGGUCCGCCAGAGCAGGUAAAAGCCCUGUAGUCGAAAGUUCGUUCUCUCCUGAGUGGAUCCUGAGUACGGCGGAACACGUGAAAUUCCGUCGGAAUCCGGGAGGACCAUCUCCCAAGGCUAAAUACUACCUAGUGACCGAUAGUGAACCAGUACCGUGAGGGAAAGGUGAAAAGCACCCCGGAAGGGGAGUGAAAGAGAUCCUGAAACCGUGUGCCUACAAGUAGUUAGAGCCCGUUAAUGGGUGAUAGCGUGCCUUUUGUAGAAUGAACCGGCGAGUUACGAUUACGUGCGAGGUUAAGCUUUAGAAGGCG